UGAUAUGCAAUUUAUAUUAUGGAUUUAAGCACAUCAUGACGAAGACUUUCACCUCUGAGUUUCCCCAUGUUGAGAGAUACUUUUGGACCGUGGCCAACCAACCAAAAAUUAAGAAGUUUUUGGGUGAUUUUAAGCAAGCCGAAUCUGUCCCAGCUGUUCAGUCUGCAAAGAAGCCUGCUCAAGCUAAGGAAUCUGCUAAACCAAAGGCCAAGGCGGAACCAAAGAAAGAAGCACCAAAGCCCAAAGCUGAAGCUGCUGAAGAAGAGGAAGCACCUAAGCCCAAACCAAAGAACCCUCUUGAUCUGCUGCCCCCAAGUAAGAUGAUUCUGGAUGACUGGAAGAGGCUUUACUCAAACACGAAGUCCAACUUCCGUGAAGUUGCAAUUAAAGGUACGCUUUCAAGUCUUACACGUUUAACAUAGUCUUAGAAAAUGCUAGUUGGUAGAUAUUGUUGUUCAUGAGCUGAUGUGAAUUUCUAUGUUGUAGGAUUCUGGGACAUGUAUGAUCCUGAGGGUUACUCACUUUGGUUCUGUGAUUACAAAUACAAUGACGAGAAUACUGUGUCAUUCGUGACCUUGAACAAGGUUAGUGGGUUUCUUCAGAGGAUGGAUCUGGCUCGCAAGUAUGCGUUUGGAAAGAUGUUAAUUAUCGGCAACGAGCCUCCAUACAAAGUCAAGGGGUUGUGGCUCUUCCGUGGCCCAGAAAUUCCUAAAUUCGUCAUGGAUGAGUGCUAUGACAUGGAAUUGUAUGACUGGAAGAAGGCUGACAUCUCAGACGAAGAGCAAAAGGAACGUGUGAACCAGAUGAUCGAGGAUC
Molecule: long non-coding RNA, 816 nt
Filed under: Citrus sinensis (sweet orange)
Lineage: Eukaryota; Viridiplantae; Streptophyta; Magnoliopsida; Sapindales; Rutaceae
Description: long non-coding RNA (CSIN_LNC004998)
Source: RNAcentral